Molecule: unclassified non-coding RNA, 352 nt
Filed under: soil metagenome
Description: partial contains 5.8S ribosomal RNA, internal transcribed spacer 2, and large subunit ribosomal RNA
Rfam family: 5.8S ribosomal RNA (bases 1-120)
Source: RNAcentral
GAUGAAGAACGCAGCGAAAUGCGAUAAGUAAUGUGAAUUGCAGAAUUCAGUGAAUCAUCGAAUCUUUGAACGCGCAUUGCGCCCGCCAGUAUUCUGGCGGGCAUGCCUGUUCGAGCGUCAUUACAACCCUCAGGCCCCCGGGCCUGGCGUUGGGGAUCGGCGGAGCCCCCCGUGGGCACACGCCGUCCCCCAAAUACAGUGGCGGUCCCGCCGCAGCUUCCAUCGCGUAGUAGCUAACACCUCGCGACUGGAGAGCGGCGCGGCCACGCCGUAAAACACCCAACUCUUCUGAAGUUGACCUCGAAUCAGGUAGGAAUACCCGCUGAACUUAAGCAUAUCAAUAAGCGGAGGA